RNAcentral lists this ribosomal RNA (600 nucleotides) under Candidatus Methanosuratincola petrocarbonis (ex Vanwonterghem et al. 2016). RNAcentral's name for it is "bacterial SSU rRNA". It matches the Rfam family "Archaeal small subunit ribosomal RNA", at positions 868 to 1467 of the family's 1478-position model. Lineage: Archaea; Thermoproteati; Thermoproteota; Methanosuratincolia; Candidatus Methanomethylicales; Candidatus Methanomethylicaceae. The record is from RNAcentral.
GCGGGGGAGCACCACAAGGGGUGAAGCCUGCGGUUUAAUUGGAGUCAACGCCGGGAAUCUUACCGGGAGCGACAGCAAGAUGAAGGCCAAGCUGACGACUUUGCUAGAUGGGCUGAGAGGAGGUGCAUGGCCGUCGCCAGUUCGUGCCGUGAGGUGUCCGGUUAAGUCCGGCAACGAACGAGACCCCCAUCCUCUGUUGCCAGCCUGCUUCUACGGAGGUAGGCGCACACGGAGGAGACUGCCAGUGUUAAACUGGAGGAGGGAGGGGGCUACGGCAGGUCAGCAUGCCCCGAAUCUCCCGGGCCACACGCGGGCUGCAAUGGUGAGGACAGCGGGUUCCGACCCCGAAAGGGGAAGGUAAUCCCUUAAACCUCGCCGUAGUUGGGAUUGAGGGCUGUAACCCGCCCUCAUGAACAUGGAAUCCCUAGUAACCGCAUGUCACCAUCGUGCGGUGAAUACGUCCCUGCUCCUUGCACACACCGCCCGUCGCUCCACCCGAGUCAAGCUUGGGCGAGGCCCAGACCUGUUGUUUGGGUCGAACCCAUGUUUGGCAAGGGGGGAGAAGUCGUAACAAGGUGGCCGCAGGGGAACCUGCGGCCG